CAGCAGUGGGGAAUAUUGCACAAUGGGGGAAACCCUGAUGCAGCCAUGCCGCGUGUGUGAAGAAGGCCUUCGGGUUGUAAAGCACUUUCAGUAGGGAGGAAGGUAGUGUAGUUAACACCUGCAUUAUUUGACGUUACCUACAGAAGAAGCACCGGCUAACUCCGUGCCAGCAGCCGCGGUAAUACGGAGGGUGCGAGCGUUAAUCGGAAUUACUGGGCGUAAAGCGCAUGCAGGCGGCCUGUUAAGUCAGAUGUGAAAAGCCCGGGGCUUAACCUCGGAAUUGCAUUUGAAACUGGCAGGCUAGAGUCUUGUAGAGGGGGUAGAAUUUCAGGUGUAGCGGUGAAAUGCGUAGAGAUCUGAAGGAAUACCAGUGGCGAAGGCGGCCCCCUGGACAAAGACUGACGCUCAGAUGCGAAAGCGUGGGGAGCAAACAGGAUUAGAUACCCUGUAG
Molecule: ribosomal RNA, 451 nt
Filed under: uncultured bacterium
Lineage: Bacteria
Description: bacterial SSU rRNA
Rfam family: Bacterial small subunit ribosomal RNA
Source: RNAcentral